UGCAGUCGACGGUUGUCAGCAAUGGCAAUAGUGGCGCACGGGUGCGUAACGCGUAACCAACCUACCUGAAUCUGGGGGAUAGCCCGCCGAAAGGCGGAUUAAUACCGCAUAAAACUGCAAUUUGGCAUCAAGUAACAGUUAAAGAUUUAUUGGAUUCAGAUGGGGUUGCGUGCCAUUAGCUAGUUGGGGAGGUAACGGCUCACCAAGGCGACGAUGGCUAGGGGAGCUGAGAGGCUGGUCCCCCACACGGGCACUGAGAUACGGGCCCGACUCCUACGGGAGGCAGCAGUAGGGAAUAUUGGGCAAUGGUCGAGAGACUGACCCAGCCAUGCCGCGUGCAGGAUGAAGGCUUUCUGAGUCGUAAACUGCUUUUAUCAGGGAAGAAUAAAGGGCAUGCGUGCUCUACUGACGGUACCUGAUGAAUAAGCACCGGCUAACUCCGUGCCAGCAGCCGCGGUAAUACGGAGGGUGCAAGCGUUGUCCGGAUUUAUUGGGUUUAAAGGGUGCGUAGGCGGUUCUUUAAGUCCGGGGUGAAAGCCCACUGCUCAACAGUGGAACUGCCCUGGAAACUGGCGAACUUGAGUACAGACGAGGGUGGCGGAAUGGAUACUGUAGCGGUGAAAUGCAUAGAUAGUAUCCAGAACCCCGAUUGCGAAGGCAGCUGCCUAGACUGUAACUGACGCUGAGGCACGAAAGCGUGGGGAGCGAA
RNAcentral lists this ribosomal RNA (709 nucleotides) under uncultured bacterium. Its description in RNAcentral is "bacterial SSU rRNA". It matches the Rfam family "Bacterial small subunit ribosomal RNA", at positions 56 to 772 of the family's 1533-position model. The record is from RNAcentral.